RNA transcript from Bombus pascuorum, 3695 nucleotides. It is a transcript of the gene named actin nucleation-promoting factor WASL-like, with no coding region annotated. The record is from RefSeq and is a predicted model, not a curated record. The transcript has 8 exons. NCBI's taxonomy places the organism in Eukaryota, Metazoa, Arthropoda, Insecta, Hymenoptera, Apidae.
AUUGAACCGGAUAGAUAAAAAUGUCAUCACCAACUGGUGGAGUUUCCUGUGUAGGAUAGUAUCAGGAAUAGCUUUUGGAAGGUGAUGAUUGAUCAAUUAUAAUUCCAGGGAUUUCGCGUCAUUGUGUGCAUUCAAUUCGUAAAAAGAAUGUUUGAAAGUGAGAUACACUGAAGGUAAAUUAUGAAAGAGAAACUAUCGAUCGAGAAAGAACGUGAUAAGAAAUUAGUACGAUAGUACGAGGAUCCUAACCUUGUUGAAAAUGAAGUCUGGCACUGUGAACAAACAUAGAGGUUCUACGCUUUUAAAAACGGAAGAAAACGAACAAGUCUAUCAAUUGAUAGGAAAUCGGUGUCAGUGUUUAGCAGCUGGAGUUAUUCAAUUAUAUUUGACUGAACCACCUUUACACAAAGAAUGGAUAAAGAAAACUACAGGUAUUAUAACAUUGAUAAGGGAUAACCCUAGACGUAGCUUUUUCCUUCGUUUAUAUUGCUUACAAAGGAAAGCAAUGUUAUGGGAGCAUGAAGUAUAUAAUGCAAUGGACUAUAAAGCACCCUUGAGUUACUUCCAUACAUUUGAAGCAGAGGACUGUAUGGCUGCUUUUAAUUUUGCAAGUGAAACAGAUGCUGUUACAUUAAGAAACAUUCUUCUUGAUAAGUUGAAUGCAAAACGUCAAAAAAGGCAACAAAGACGUUCUAAGGUAGAAGGAGAAACUCAGCAUGGUGCAACAUUGCCAUGGAGAAAUCAAAGCAACGCAUCACCUGUUGCAUUUAGUACAGGAUCAACUUCUAAUUUAUUAAAUGGAACCCCAACUACAAUUGGUGUCAAUAGGAGUGCUUCUAGUAGUUCUAUGUACAAAAGUAAAAAGAAAAAACGAGAGAAAACCAAGAAAAGGUUAACAAAAGAUGACAUUGGUCCUCCAUCCAAUUUUAGACACGUUACACACUGGGCAUGGAAUACUAGUAGCAAAGAAUUGGAAUUGGACAAAGUCGAUCCACAUUUAAAAAUGUUUCUUGAUAUAGUUGGUGUAUCGGAACAUCAAUUCAGAAAUCAAGAUACGCGUGAUUUUAUUUACGAUUUUAUUGAAAAAAAUGGUGGGAUGAAUGCCAUUAGAGAAGAUAUAUCUUCAUCUAUCCCAAAAACUAAUGCACAACAACAAUUACAACAAUUGCAACAACAACAACAUCAGCAACAAUCUCCAGCAGCGCCUCAAAGACAGGAAUAUCCCCCUCCAGUUCCAGCAAGAACAAUAACACAUCAAACACGAAGUGCUCCACCACUACCUCCAAAUCGAAUUAACGCACCUUCGACACCGCCAAGUGUACCACCUAGUGCACCACUUAGUGCACCACCAGUUCAUAGAACAUUACCAUCUCGACCGCCACCACCUUCUUUAACUUUCGCACCAUCAUUACCACCACCUCCACCUCCGCCUCCUCCUCCUCCACCUCCUCCACCAGCUCUAGCUCCAGCUCCAGCUCCAGCUCCAGCUCCAGCUCCAGCUCCAGCUCCAGCUCCAGCUCCAGCUCCAGCUCCAGCUCCAGCUCCACGUUCUAGAAGUAAUUUAACUACACCUGUUCCACCUCCUCCACCAUUACCAAGUACUGAUGAUGGAACAGUCAAUGCAAGUGCUAUCAAUAAUAAUAAUACUACUAGUAAUGACAAUAAUAACGGAGAUAUCGCUGAUCUAAGGUCAACGCUUAUGGAAUCCAUAAGGAGUGGUACUACACUUCGAAAAAUUGAUAAAUCUGAAGUAAAACAAAGUCCCCCUCCUCCGGAUACAAGGAAUGCUUUGUUAGAAGAAAUUCGUCGUCAAGAAUUUGUGUUAAGGCCCGUUUCGAAUGAAGUAAAAAAUGAACGAAGUAAACCAGCGUUUCAAGGAGGAUUAGCUAGUGCUUUAUCAAGAGCUCUUGCCGAGCGAUCAAGUGCAAUCCAUAGUGAAAGUGAUGAUUCGACUAGUGAAACCAGUGAUGAUGAUGAUGACUGGGAUGAUUAACUCAGAUGAAGCAUUUGACUCGAGGAAUAAAAUAAUGUAUCACUGUGAUAAAUCUGCUAUCAAUAAACAUGUAAACAGAUUAGCUACUUUAAAUGUAUAAUAGAACGAUUUUGAAUUUGAUAUCCAAAGAAGAAUGAAAAUCACAUGUAAAUGUUCCGAAAAAGGAAAUCACAUAAUGUGUUAUCAGGAAGUAAGGCAUAAUUACAUGGAUAGGGCAGGUGUCGAGACCACAGGAUUGAAGCGGAAACAGAGAAAUUGUCUAUGGAAGUGUAUGAAGCACAAGAUAAAAAGUUUUAUGCCACUAUGGAGAAAUCCUAGUCACACAGAAAUGAGAAAAAAGGAAUAUGUUAAUUAUUAGUUAUUGUAUUUUAUUAUAUUCUAUGCAAUAUUAUUGUAACGUAAACGCUGUUCGACGUCCGAACUUCUCUUUCGAUUGACUAGAAAAAUCAUAGUUGCAGGAUUUUUUGCUUCGAUUACUGUCGAAUAUAUGAAAAUACCGGGACGAGAGCGUAAUUAAGAGAAAGAGGGGAUCUACGCUAUAUUUGUUAACUAGGAUAAAGGGAAAGUAGCGAGAGAUGUUAAAACAAAAGACUUGUUACAUAUGAUAAGCUAAUAAGAUUGUAUGUAGAAUGGGAGGAUUACAAAAUUUUACUUUGAACGCAUUAUAUAGAAAUAUUGUUGCAUUUAAGAAGAAAAAGAAAAGAGAAAAAGAGCUAUUAAUGGGCAUGUAUCUUUGUCCAGUUUUAAGAAGUAAAUUGUUCUUCUAUUGAAUCUACAUAUAACAUAGUACAUGUUACAAAUCGUAUUCGGUUUGUGUUGUGACUACCAAAUAUCAAAAACUAUAAAAAAACGAACAUAUAACAAAUAUUAAUUUACUUUAACACGCAACUUCCUCUUCUACUGUAUUAUUUUUUGUAUUAACUAAAAAAGAAAUAGACUCAUAUAUAAUUUAUAGCGCAAAUUUUAUGAACUAAUGCAAAACGAAUGUUUCUUCUUUGUUAUUGUGGAAGAACAAGAAAGCAAAAAGAUUCAUCUACAGAGAUGAUAGCGUUCGUGAUAACAGGAACCUAAAUUUGUUAUGUGUACAUAGUUUUAAAAGGAACGUUGAAUAUACGUUAAAAUAAUGUUUAUACUAUUUAUUUAACAGUCAGCUUUUAUAUAUACUGGAAAUUAGGUUUAAGUAGAUCAGAUAUGUAUAUCGGUCUAACUAAAUAUUUUUGCUAUGAAUAUGAUGAGAUAAAUAAAAUAUGCGUGUGGAAUUUGCGAUUAAAAAAAGAACCGGAAGUAAAUAUUCAAAUUUUUUCGUUAAACUUGUAACGAUAAUUACCCAUUAUUAAUUACUUCGUUUGUGAGAUUCGAAUGUUAUAACUGUAUUCAAAUAUACAAGAAAACAUAUCAAAAUUUUGAAAAAUAUUAAAUGAUGAUUUUGUAUAAAAGCAAAUAUUUUGUAAAAAAAAAAAAAAAAAAAAAAAAAGAAAGAAAGAAAUACCGAUGAUAUGGGACUAAAAUUAUAUCCGAAUUGAUUGCAUUAAACUAAUAAAAGACCAACUUUCCAAAUCUUAGAAGAAAGUAGCUUCUUCGUAAAAUUGUAAUUCCUAAAAAAAAAAGAUAAAUAUCAUGCCAUUUAUGUAACUGAAAUUGUUGACUUUAUCAACGAAUGUUUAAAAUACAAAUAUAUCAAUAGACACGAAAGAGAAAGGAA